ACUGCAGCCUCCACCUCCCAGGUUCCAGUGAUUCUCCUGCCUCAGCCUACUGAGUAGCUGGGAUUUACAGGCACGCGCAACCAGGGCCCUGCUGAUGAGGCUGUGAGCAAGACCGCCUGUCCUUCGGGUUUUGCGAGACACUGCGCCUACUGGGCCGCUGCCAGCUGCCCACCGUCUGCACCCAGUGCUGCUGCUCAUGCUCCGCCCAGCCACGGCGCCCCCUCUCGAGGCCAUCAGUGGGUUGCCCACCGCUGACUGUGCCAGGAUGCACAGACCGACCGACAGACCUCAGUGCCCACCACGGGCUGUGACGGAGCUCCCGCCCCCUGCGCCCUAAUGGUGCUAACCCUCUCCCUAGCCAGCGGCAGGCUGGGGACCUCCUCCUCAUGAAAAAAGCUAUUUUUUUAUUCUAACAGUUCGUGUAACAUUUAUUACGAUUUUACAUAAAUGAGCAUCUACCAUUCCAAAGCACAGUGUGACUUCAUCCUGGAUUUGGAGAAUCUUAAAAGUCAGAAACUCUUCCCCCAACCCCCCUGCCCAAAACUCCACCACGGCAGCACCUUGGCAGGCGCGGCUUUUCACGUGCUCCUCUGGGGCAGAUCUGCAGUGGGCAGAGCAGCAGUCAGGUCCAUGAGAGCAUGGCGUCUGGUGAGGCACAGAAGGCCUUGGAAGCCGGGGGCUGCUGCCCAGGGAGGCCUGUGUGCAGAGGGUGGGGUUCUGGGGACAGGAAGGUCUUCUGGGCAGGGGCACAGCUUGGCCCUUACUUGCUGCCCACCUGAGGCCCCACUCUGUGGUCCUCAGAGACUUGUUCCACAGGGAUUGGGCCCACCUUGUCACUUGCAGGGACUGCCCCUUGGAGUGAUGGGGACUGGGGCCCCCGGGGGCACCUCCCUGGCCCUGUUGUAUCUGUUGAUUUUUCUGCAAAAAGUGGGCAGAGGGAAGAAGAGCAGGCUGGCCAGCUGUGCCCUACUGUGUCUGUCCCAGGACUUGGAAGGGAGGGAGGGAGUAUGGCCAGGGUGGCUGCCUACAGGUGCAUAUCCUGCUGCUCCCCAAUUCAACACGCUCACCUCAUUUCACGCCAACACACCCCAUCCUCAGAGGAGGAGCCCAAGGCUCUGAGAGGAAGUAACUGGCCCAAGGGCACAUGCCCUGCUGACACAGGCCCAUCCUAGGCUCUGACUGCCCACCUCCAAGCUCCAGGCCACCCUGAGCAGGUGGAAGAGGGAGAGGGCCCCGAGCAGGCCCCAGCGGCGGCUUUGCACAAAGCGGGCAGCCUGCCAGAGUUCACGCAGGAAAGCAAGUUGCUGGGCAAGCUAGCGUGAGUCCAGCCCUGCUGCGCUGCCCGCGGGUGGAGGAGCGUCAGGAGUGCUUCCUGUCUGUCUACAGCAGCCCGGCUGGCCCGAAGAGACCCUGGGGACCCAUGCUCUGAGUCAUGGCUUCCCAGGCCUUAGUCAGAACUGCCCCUGCUGGCAGCCCCUUCCAAGGGGUGGGGAGCAGAGCCUCUCGACUUGCUCCUGACUCACACAUUGAGCCAGUCCAUCCCAGCUCUGCCGCCGCUGCUGUGCUGUGUGACUUCAGGAACCCCCAGCCUCGCUGAAUCCAUGUCCCCAGAAGGGAAAAGCCUGCCAGGCCUUGCCUUGCCCUGUCUGGGAAUCCUUGCGGGAGCCACCCCUGAAACACCCCUAUGGGAAACCCUUUGGUCUUCAUCAUUCUUGGGUGUUUUCCACUGACAGCUGGGGGUGUCUCCGGUGGCAGCUGGGCCUGAGCUGUCAGCCCAGGCAGGAGGCAAACAAGCCUGUGACUCAGGCAGGGCAUGGCACAGCUGGCGGAAGGAGGCGUGCCUGUUCUUUGUGGCUGGGUGGGGGGUUAUCUGGACACAGGGAGUCUCCAGUUCCUGGCUUCCCACCUUGGUGCCCCCAGCCCACACCUGCAGCUUGGCCAUGGUUCUUGGGGACUCCAAAGGCUGCCCCUGCUGGGAAAGGCAUCCUGACGCACCCGCCCCAGGGUAAGCCAAGGGCAGGGACACCCAGAAACGCCAGGCUGGAAGGUCAGAGAGCCCCUCCUCACCCCCCAACACCAAUAAGCCCUGGUCCACCCUCCAAGCCCUUGGGGUGAGCCUCAUCACUAGUGACUAUAACGGAAUUUCAGUGCAGAAUAUCAUACAAAUUAGUUUAUUUCUUCCUUAGUAUUACAGUUCCAAAAUGUAACCUGAAGGUCAGCACAGGAGCUGCUAUGAUAUAAAAGGAGAGUCACCUGGCGCCCCCUGCAGUCCUCCAGUUGCCCAGCAGCGGUGGGACACUCAGUGGCACACACUAGGUCUCUGUAUGGCCUCCCACCUGCAAGGACUUCCCCGGGCAGGCCCAGCUGCCCAGAAGCCCCGGAACACACAGGAAGACAAAACUAUAGGAUGGUGGGUGGGGAUCUGUGCAAUACAAACUUGUAGUUAGAAAACCCAACCGAGCAUCUGUCUAGGAUACUUCCUAUAUCAAUAUACCGCAGUUGGAACCAGAACCGUCUCCAGCCAUCAGCAGUCUUGGCGGCUACUGUACAGCUGUCAGCAUGACUACAGGCAGCGCCCGGGGCUACCUGGGGUAAGAAGUGGGCCCGCACCUCACAACAGCGAGUCAGUGAGAGUCAGGGCCGGAGGGAAGAGCAACUCGGAGGCUCAGGCUGGCACAGAUACAAGGGAGUCACACACAUAACGUAAGAACUUGUUAUAUAAAAUAGAUAUGUGGAAUCUAGAAACACCUUGAGAAAAUAGCCUAUAAAAAUAUAAACUGUAGUGAAAGCAUACAAAAGUAUUAACAGAGGUUCAACCCAUUAA
Cercocebus atys (sooty mangabey) is the source of this 2824-nucleotide long non-coding RNA. RefSeq lists it as uncharacterized. NCBI's taxonomy places the organism in Eukaryota, Metazoa, Chordata, Mammalia, Primates, Cercopithecidae. The transcript is spliced from 2 exons. The record is from RefSeq and is a predicted model, not a curated record.